AGGGGCAUCAUGAUCUAGCAAUAGAUUGAUGGCGACCGGCGCACGGGUGAGUAACACGUAUCCAACCUUCCAUUAACUCGGGGAUAGCCUUUCGAAAGAAAGAUUAAUACCCGAUAGUAUAGCAUUUCGUCUUGGUUUUGCUAUUAAAGAAUUUCGGUUAUUGAUGGGGAUGCGUUCCAUUAGUUUGUUGGCGGGGUAACGGCCCACCAAGACUUCGAUGGAUAGGGGUUCUGAGAGGAAGGUCCCCCACAUUGGAACUGAGACACGGUCCAAACUCCUACGGGAGGCAGCAGUGAGGAAUAUUGGUCAAUGGACGGGAGUCUGAACCAGCCAAGUAGCGUGAAGGAUGAAGGCUCUAUGGGUCGUAAACUUCUUUUAUACGGGAAUAAAGUGAACCACGUGUGGUUUUUUGUAUGUACCGUAUGAAUAAGGAUCGGCUAACUCCGUGCCAGCAGCCGCGGUAAUACGGAGGAUCCGAGCGUUAUCCGGAUUUAUUGGGUUUAAAGGGAGCGUAGGCGGGUACUUAAGUCAGUUGUGAAAGUUUACGGCUCAACCGUGAAAUUGCAGUUGAUACUGGGUGUCUUGAGUGCACGUAGAGGUAGGCGGAAUUCGUGGUUAGCG
Molecule: ribosomal RNA, 621 nt
Filed under: uncultured bacterium
Lineage: Bacteria
Description: bacterial SSU rRNA
Rfam family: Bacterial small subunit ribosomal RNA
Source: RNAcentral